AAGGCUUUAAGUUAAAAAAACUAAUAGCCUUCAAAGCUAUAAAUAUAAGA
Molecule: transfer RNA, 50 nt
Filed under: Sarcophaga tuberosa
Lineage: Eukaryota; Metazoa; Arthropoda; Insecta; Diptera; Sarcophagidae
Description: tRNA-Trp
Source: RNAcentral